Molecule: long non-coding RNA, 600 nt
Organism: Homo sapiens (human)
Lineage: Eukaryota; Metazoa; Chordata; Mammalia; Primates; Hominidae
Product: long intergenic non-protein coding RNA 1002
Source: Ensembl
AGAUGGGGUCUUCUUUUGUUGCCCAGGCUGGCCACAAAUUCCUGGGCUCAAGUGAUCCUCCCACCUCGUCCUUGUAGAGAUGAGAUUUAGUUAUGUCGUCCAGGCUGAUCUCAAACUCCUGGGCUAAAUCGAUUGUCUCACCUCAGCCUCUCAAGUAUGUUAUGAAGGUUAUAUGUUAGGAAGGGUCCCAGGAGGUAAACCCACACAGAUGGGAUUUGGGCAUAGGUUUGGUUUCCCAGGGGGCAGUGCUGAGCUCUUUGCCAGUGGGAAAUGGGAUGCUGGUGAUUUCCAGUAGGUGACCUCACAGUGACUCAAGCUACCACUUACUGUUGAUUGUGACGAAAUGCCAGCUGAGGCACAUGCCUUGGGAGCUAAGUGGUUGCUGCCCUUGACCACUGUGAAGACUGGUGUGGGAAGGGUCGUUUUGGAUGCACUUGAGCAGGGGUCCCCAACCCCUGAGCCAUGGAGCCGCAAGGAGCCACACAGCAGGAGGUGGGAACAUCCAGUUGCAGGAAAACAAGCUUAACACGCCCACUGAUUCUACAUUAUGGGUCUCCCUCUGUUGUCCAAGGCUGGAGUGUAGUAGUGCUAUCGCAGCUG